CCUUGAAAGCCCUGAGGCCCAGGCCGCUGUCCUGCUCUCCUCUCUACUGACUCCCAUCCUCAAUAUACUUUCCAUGAGAGAAAGAGUAAAUUUUUUAAAACCUCAAGAGAGAACACAGAAAACUGUCAUAAUUUUUCAAAGGCUAAAGGAGAAUAAACUGAAAAUAUCAGUUUGAACACGUGUAUGUAAAAAGAAUGGAUGGUAAUAAAACUAACAACUGAAAAGCAAUGUUUCUGACUCAUUCAUUCAUACUCAAGAAAUAUCAAAUAACUGAGUGGAGAUGAUGCAAG
This 290-nucleotide long non-coding RNA is filed under the name Homo sapiens (human). RNAcentral describes it as "HSALNT0326789". The record is from RNAcentral. Lineage: Eukaryota; Metazoa; Chordata; Mammalia; Primates; Hominidae.